CAUAGACUACAGCAAGGAAAGACUGAAUUUUAUGGGGAUGGGAGCAGAAUAUUGAGAAUUAGCAUUUUGCACAGUUUUGUAGUCUUGCUGCUGCCUUUCUGCCAACACGGAUGGGUGACUGGUAUUACCUCUGGUGCACCUGCAACCUGGGCCUGUCAAAAAAAUACAAAUCACAAUAUAAAAUAAUCAGCUCAUGAAAAAAGUUUAGGCUGAGAUUUGUUUCUCAUUUGUCACAUCAAAAUCAAGAAACCUUUUAUGCAGGAAGCAGGAGAGUAUUUGACAUUAAUCUGCUGGUAUGCAGGGAGAAUAAAUGAGGAAUUUUUGUUGUUCGUGUGUUCAUGUAGCAUAUCAAUGAUUUUGAUAAUAGCAUGAGGAUAUCUGGCUACAGUCUAACAUGUUAAAUUAAGUUGUUAAGGCCUUAACACAGGUUUUGUCUGCCUUUAUUCUAGUAGAGUUACAGGUUCAUAUGACUGUUAAGAGAGUGGAGAAUAAAAUCAAGUGUAAUUCUGACUAUGGUAAAAAAUUUAUUCUCUCUGCAGGUCAAUGAAAUAGAGGAAGAUGUGAAAGCGUGUUAGAAAACCUAAAAAUGGCAGCAGAUAAAUAGAAAGAUAAAGAAGUAAAAGGUCCUCAACAUCAGCAUCAUACUCCUCAGGGCAAAGGACUGAUGAAAUGCUGUGCUUCACUUUUCCAGCUCCCUCCAACCAGAUUUAAGUCAUCAUUAGGACACCCAAGGAGAAGUGGAAUGGUCUAUCACCUAUUAAUAUGUACCCCAAACAAGGACUGGAGUGUUGGAGUUUAUCAUGCACCAGAUGAUUACGGCAAGAUGCUUACAGGUCAGAAAUCCCUGAAACCUGGAUUUUCUUCAUCCCAGUAUAUUAAAAACUAGAUGGAAAAAAAUCCCAGCAAACCCUUUCCAUUUUGCCCUUGAAACGUCGCAGACAGCGCUACUUCAUGGAAGGAACAGAGGUUCAGUCCCCAGAACUUACCAGACCUUGUAAGGCUUUUAAACACUAUCUCUCCACACAUACUUACCCUUUCUUCAGCUAUGUUCUGGUGACUUCCUCUCCAUCCAAACACAUCAGUACCUUCGGACCCAUUUCACACAAUUUCACACAGAAAGGUGUGACACAUGACUGAACUUUCAAAAGUGUAUACACAAAAUGCUGUGAUAUACUCUCUUGUAUUCCAGCCAGGUUAUGCACAGAGGAUUGAGAUGCAUAUCCGUAUCUUGACUAUCUGCGCUAUAGUGACAAUGUUAAUUCAUAAUCAAGAUUAAGUUUCCCUGCUCUCCUGAAUUAACAUAUUUGCAGCCCAUUUCUGGUCAGGUACCUGAAUUCAAGUAACUCAUGUAAGCUCAGAAAGCCUAGGAAGGAGAAUAAAAAAAGCUGAAAAGGUUCCAUUUCAAUUUAUUUCUUCGUUUUUAGGUUCAAGGGGGGGGGAAAGCCCCACUUAUUUAAUUUUUUAACAUAUCAUUGACACUUCAGAAAUGAAGGACUCUCCUUUUCUACUCGGGUACAGGUGGGUCUUGGUUUGCUUAUAGUGAUCAUUAGAAAAAGAAUAAAAAUGUUGACUCUGCUGUUUGA
Molecule: long non-coding RNA, 1583 nt
Organism: Pezoporus occidentalis (night parrot)
Lineage: Eukaryota; Metazoa; Chordata; Aves; Psittaciformes; Psittacidae
Exons: 4
Source: RefSeq, a predicted model, not a curated record